RNAcentral lists this unclassified non-coding RNA (201 nucleotides) under uncultured Umbelopsidomycetes. Its description in RNAcentral is "sequence contains ITS2". The record is from RNAcentral. Lineage: Eukaryota; Fungi; Mucoromycota; Umbelopsidomycetes.
AAAUCUCACAAAUGAACCAUUUCUUUUGUUUCAGCUUGUGGACUUGGAUUUGCGAUCAAUCAAGAUUGCUAAUCUGAAAUGAAUUUCAUGAAGCUUAACAUGCUUUGAAUCUUUUGCUUAAUAGUUUUGCUUUGUCAAAUCUUUUGCAAUGGAUUUAAAAGCCAAAAAGUGAAUUGAUUUUACGAAAUCGUUUACCUCAUU